AGGAGAGGAGGCAGGGAGGGCUUGUAGAGAUGGAGUGGCACCUUCUAGGUCUGGAGGCUCAAAGGUCACUGAGAGGCAGGCCUGGUAGCCUGGGGCUUUCCAGGGACUGAAGACCUCUGGUCUAGGGGACUGUGACCCGAUUAAGACUUGGAAAAUACAGCCUGGCGAUCUUACCCCAUCUUAGGAUAGCGGCUGGGCCUCGCAGGGUGGGAAAAGGGGUGCAGCAGUGAGCCCCGCGGGGGGGCCGAUGGUGCAGGGCCAAGGGUGGGCUGGCCCUGGCCAGCAGCCUGGCCCACCUUCCGGGGUGCUCGCACCCCAGCCUCCCCACCAGCUCCUGCCCCCAGGGACUGGUCAAGGGCACCUGCCCCUGGCCUGUUCGAGGGUGAGGAGGGCAGGUCCCUGGCCCCCUCCUGACCAGAGGCCCUGUAGCCCCGCUGCGCCUGGGGACACGGGAGGCCCACUGCCUCUGAAUUCCAGGCUGACGAUCAGCGCAUUCCGAGGCCUGAGUGUAUCCCACAAAAUACUGGGGGUCUACUGACACUCGGAAAUGACUCAUUUUCCGUCUGAAAUUCAGAUGUCGCUGGUCACUGUUGUCAUGUCUUUUGUUUUUCUUAGUGCCAGUGUGAAGUCCCCCUCUCUCCUUUCCUCUGCUCAGGCCUACUCUUCUAGGAGGCUCCCUAAGGACACCUCCCGUCCUGGAGGCUCCGGCCUCCCGCAGUCCCAGGGCAGAGGUAAGAAACAACCGCUGCGACUUGAUUACACUGUUCUGCAGCUUGAUCCUCUUGGAUUUUUUGAACGAGGAAACAGCAUCAGAGAGGCAGGUAACUUAUGCAGCGUCACACAGCGGAGCUCCACAGCCUAGGACUGAACCCGAGUUGUCCGCCAUUUCCAAAAGGCGGGCUUUAAAACUCGCCCAGUUCUCCCCUGGGACUGAGAAGGGACAGACAGGGGACACUGUGCCACAAGGUGGCGGUGCUGUCCUGGAGGGUCCCUCCCAGGCCCAGGUGUCCUGUCUGCCCUCUGACCCUGCCAUCUGUCCUUCCCUGAUCAGGCCCAUCCUGAGACCUGCGGGGCAGGCUGUGACUCCCUGGCCAGUCUCUCAGCAGUCCUCGGCUCCCAGGAGCCAUGUCGGCACCUGCAGCUCUGGUGGGCCGCUCCGCAGAGAUGCCCGGGUGAAGCUGCCCUCACGAGGACACGAGGGAAAUCAAAUCCAUUUUUCCUUCCGAGUUUCCGAGAGGUGGGGAGGCGCGCUGUGUGGGGUGGAUUGGCCCUGGUGACCAGGAGAUCACACAUGGCAUCAGACAGGAGGCCCAGGGAGGGCCAGGCAGUGCAGGGCUGGUUCCAGAGGCUUCCAGGAGGGGCCAUGGCUAGGCUGCGCCUAGGAAGGUGCAGGGCUGGGGCGUGGAGGGGCGGAACAGCUCCUGCAAAGGCCCUGAGGCAGGGCUGAGCCAGUGUGGCCGAGCAGAGGAGCAG
This 1473-nucleotide long non-coding RNA is filed under the name Marmota monax (woodchuck). The record is from RNAcentral. Lineage: Eukaryota; Metazoa; Chordata; Mammalia; Rodentia; Sciuridae.